Molecule: ribosomal RNA, 496 nt
Filed under: uncultured bacterium
Lineage: Bacteria
Description: partial 16S ribosomal RNA
Rfam family: Bacterial small subunit ribosomal RNA
Source: RNAcentral
GAUGAACGCUGGCGGCGUGCCUAAUACAUGCAAGUCGAGCGAACAGACGAGGAGCUUGCUCCUCUGACGUUAGCGGCGGACGGGUGAGUAACACGUGGAUAACCUACCUAUAAGACUGGGAUAACUUCGGGAAACCGGAGCUAAUACCGGAUAAUAUAUUGAACCGCAUGGUUCAAUAGUGAAAGACGGUUUUGCUGUCACUUAUAGAUGGAUCCGCGCCGCAUUAGCUAGUUGGUAAGGUAACGGCUUACCAAGGCAACGAUGCGUAGCCGACCUGAGAGGGUGAUCGGCCACACUGGAACUGAGACACGGUCCAGACUCCUACGGGAGGCAGCAGUAGGGAAUCUUCCGAAAUGGGCGAAAGCCUGACGGAGCAACGCCGCGUGAGUGAUGAAGGUCUUCGGAUCGUAAAACGCUGUUAUUAGGGAAGAACAAAUGUGUAAGUAACUAUGCACGUCUUGACGGUACCUAAUCAGAAAGCCACGGCUAACUACGU